RNAcentral lists this transfer RNA (73 nucleotides) under Pristionchus pacificus. It matches the Rfam family "tRNA". Rfam says of the family: Transfer RNA (tRNA) molecules are approximately 80 nucleotides in length. Their secondary structure includes four short double-helical elements and three loops (D, anti-codon, and T loops). Further hydrogen bonds mediate the characteristic L-shaped molecular structure. tRNAs have two regions of fundamental functional importance: the anti-codon, which is responsible for specific mRNA codon recognition, and the 3' end, to which the tRNAs corresponding amino acid is attached (by aminoacyl-tRNA synthetases). tRNAs cope with the degeneracy of the genetic code in two manners: having more than one tRNA (with a specific anti-codon) for a particular amino acid; and 'wobble' base-pairing, i.e. permitting non-standard base-pairing at the 3rd anti-codon position. Lineage: Eukaryota; Metazoa; Nematoda; Chromadorea; Rhabditida; Neodiplogasteridae. The record is from Rfam by way of RNAcentral.
GCCUCGUUAGGUCAGUUGGUAGAGCGUCUGACUUUUAAUCUGAAUGUCAGGGGUUCGAGCCACAUACGAGGCU